AUUGAACGCUGGCGGCAGGCCUAACACAUGCAAGUCGAGCGGAUGAAGGGAGCUUGCUCCUGGAUUUAGCGGCGGACGGGUGAGUAAUGCCUAGGAAUCUGCCUGGUAGUGGGGGAUAACGUCCGGAAACGGGCGCUAAUACCGCAUACGUCCUGAGGGAGAAAGUGGGGGACCUUCGGACCUCACGCUAUCAGAUGAGCCUAGGUCGGAUUAGCUAGUUGGUGGGGUAAAGGCCUACCAAGGCGACGAUCCGUAACUGGUCUGAGAGGAUGAUCAGUCACACUGGAACUGAGACACGGUCCAGACUCCUACGGGAGGCAGCAGUGGGGAAUAUUGGACAAUGGGCGAAAGCCUGAUCCAGCCAUGCCGCGUGUGUGAAGAAGGUCUUCGGAUUGUAAAGCACUUUAAGUUGGGAGGAAGGGCAGUAAGUUAAUACCUUGCUGUUUUGACGUUACCAACAGAAUAAGCACCGGCUAACUUCGU
Molecule: ribosomal RNA, 483 nt
Filed under: uncultured bacterium
Lineage: Bacteria
Description: partial 16S ribosomal RNA
Rfam family: Bacterial small subunit ribosomal RNA
Source: RNAcentral